UAAUACGUAGGGUGCGAGCGUUGUCCGGAAUUAUUGGGCGUAAAGAGCUUGUAGGCGGUUUGUCGCGUCUGCCGUGAAAAUCCAAGGCUUAACUUUGGACGUGCGGUGGGUACGGGCAGGCUAGAGUGUGGUAGGGGAGACUGGAAUUCCUGGUGUAGCGGUGAAAUGCGCAGAUAUCAGGAGGAACACCGAUGGCGAAGGCAGGUCUCUGGGCCAUAACUGACGCUGAGAAGCGAAAGCAUGGGGAGCGAACAGG
Molecule: ribosomal RNA, 256 nt
Filed under: uncultured bacterium
Lineage: Bacteria
Description: partial 16S ribosomal RNA
Rfam family: Bacterial small subunit ribosomal RNA
Source: RNAcentral